GUAGGCUGAAACUCGCCUACAUGAAGCUGGAGUUACUAGUAAUCGCAGAUCAGAAUGCUGCGGUGAAUGCGUUCCCGGGUCUUGUACACACCGCCCGUCACACCACGGAAGUUGGGGGCGCCCGAAGCCACUUAGCUAACCCUUUGGGAAGCGAGUGUCGAAGGUGAAAUCAAUAACUGGGGUGAAGUCGUAACAAGGUACC
RNAcentral lists this ribosomal RNA (202 nucleotides) under uncultured bacterium. RNAcentral's name for it is "partial 16S ribosomal RNA". It matches the Rfam family "Bacterial small subunit ribosomal RNA", at positions 1300 to 1500 of the family's 1533-position model. The record is from RNAcentral.